AUUAGCGAACUGUCCCAAAAUCCCAUCCCAAGCCUUGCUGCUCGGAGCCGUACCACGCGCUGACUAGCGCACAGGAAAAUUGGCGCAACGAGCCGCACGGUGGUGUCCGCCGGCCAUCGGGCUUCCUCCAUGGACGCACCCAGGAACUGCACUGGACGCACGAUUUUAGGGCAGCUGCAACUGGCGCCGCGCUUCACUUCGUUGUUGCGAAUCUCGAGCAGCGACUGUGGCAGGAGCUCGCCGCCGCGGGCGACGUGUGGCGAGCCUGGCGGGUGCUCAGGGCUUGGUGUGUUCGCUCGCACGGCGUCACUGACCCUCCAAUGCCAAGCAUGACGUCGUUGGGGGCACGCGCAGCAAUUUCAGGUUGUGGUGCAAAGUGCAAGCGGAUGUGAAGAUUGAAAAGUUGACAUAGUCUACUUAGAGUACUUACGAAGAAAGGAAACAACCGCUGUUGCAAUGCCUAGGUAGACAAAGUUCAGAACUGCCUGUGAAAAAAGCAAAGGUAGGUAGAAACAAAGUGAGAAUUGAGAGAUGCAAUAAUGUCUCGCUAACAAGUUGAAGUAAACUUCAAGCUACAUGUAAUUCAUGGAGAACAGUGAUAAAAGUUUGACCACCUUUUUAUGAUUUUGUUCAUGAUUCGGAUAGAAAUCUGUCAGCAAAAAUACACUACUGCAACGACAAACUUGACAGCUUAUUCUUGGACUGAGUUUCGGAUCUUUGAUCAAGAAAAGAUUCCAGCCUUUACCAGAUUUGGUUAGUUAUCCAUUAUAUUAAAAUUGUUC
Long non-coding RNA from Sorghum bicolor (sorghum), 782 nucleotides. RefSeq lists it as uncharacterized. NCBI's taxonomy places the organism in Eukaryota, Viridiplantae, Streptophyta, Magnoliopsida, Poales, Poaceae. The transcript has 2 exons. The record is from RefSeq and is a predicted model, not a curated record.